This 221-nucleotide ribosomal RNA is filed under the name uncultured bacterium. Its description in RNAcentral is "partial 16S ribosomal RNA". It matches the Rfam family "Bacterial small subunit ribosomal RNA", at positions 15 to 228 of the family's 1533-position model. The record is from RNAcentral.
GAUCAUGGCUCAGGACGAACGCUGGCGGCGUGCCUAAUACAUGCAAGUAGAACGCUGAAGGAGGAGCUUGCUUCUCCGGAUGAGUUGCGAACGGGUGAGUAACGCGUAGGUAACCUGCCUGGUAGCGGGGGAUAACUAUUGGAAACGAUAGCUAAUACCGCAUAACAGUAGAUAUCGCAUGAUAUGUGCUUGAAAGGUGCAAUUGCAUCACUACCAGAUGG